This 253-nucleotide ribosomal RNA is filed under the name uncultured bacterium. RNAcentral's name for it is "partial 16S ribosomal RNA". It matches the Rfam family "Bacterial small subunit ribosomal RNA", at positions 524 to 776 of the family's 1533-position model. The record is from RNAcentral.
UACGUAGGGUGCAAGCGUUGUCCGGAAUUAUUGGGCGUAAAGAGCUCGUAGGCGGUCUGUCGCGUCGGCUGUGAAAACUCGGGGCUCAACCCCGAGCCUGCAGUCGAUACGGGCAGACUAGAGUGCUGUAGGGGAGACUGGAAUUCCUGGUGUAGCGGUGAAAUGCGCAGAUAUCAGGAGGAACACCGGUGGCGAAGGCGGGUCUCUGGGCAUGUACUGACGCUGAGGAACGAAAGCGUGGGGAGCGAACAGG